This 1324-nucleotide ribosomal RNA is filed under the name Phytoplasma sp. Its description in RNAcentral is "bacterial SSU rRNA". It matches the Rfam family "Bacterial small subunit ribosomal RNA", at positions 152 to 1470 of the family's 1533-position model. Lineage: Bacteria; Bacillati; Mycoplasmatota; Mollicutes; Acholeplasmatales; Acholeplasmataceae. The record is from RNAcentral.
GGAAACAGUGGCUAAGACUGGAUAGGAAGAUAAAAGGCAUCUUUUAUCUUUUAAAAGACCUAGUAAUAGGUAUGCUUUAGGAGGGGCUUGCGCCAUAUUAGUUAGUUGGUAGGGUAAUGGCCUACCAAGACGAUGAUGUGUAGCUGGACUGAGAGGUUGAACAGCCACAUUGGGACUGAGACACGGCCCAAACUCCUACGGGAGGCAGCAGUAGGGAAUUUUCGGCAAUGGAGGAAACUCUGACCGAGCAACGCCGCGUGAAUGACGAAGUACUUCGGUAUGUAAAGUUCUUUUAUCAAGGAAGAAAAGCAAAUGGCGAACCAUUUGUUUGCCGGUACUUGAUGAAUAAGCCCCGGCUAAUUAUGUGCCAGCAGCCGCGGUAAGACAUAAGGGGCAAGUGUUAUCCGGAAUUAUUGGGCGUAAAGGGUGCGUAGGCGGUCUAGUAAGUCAGUGGUGUAAUGGCAACGCUUAACGUUGUCCGGCUAUUGAAACUGCUAAACUUGAGUUAGAUAGAGGCGAGUGGAAUUCCAUGUGUAGCGGUAAAAUGCGUAAAUAUAUGGAGGAACACCAGAGGCGUAGGCGGCUCGCUGGGUCUUAACUGACGCUGAGGCACGAAAGCGUGGGGAGCAAACAGGAUUAGAUACCCUGGUAGUCCACGCCGUAAACGAUGAGUACUAAGUGUCGGGUUAAACCGGUACUGAAGUUAACACAUUAAGUACUCCGCCUGAGUAGUACGUACGCAAGUAUGAAACUUAAAGGAAUUGACGGGACUCCGCACAAGCGGUGGAUCAUGUUGUUUAAUUCGAAGAUACCCGAAAAACCUUACCAGGUCUUGACAUGUUUUUGCAAAAUGAUAGUAAUAUCGUGGAGGUUACCAGAAACACAGGUGGUGCAUGGUUGUCGUCAGCUCGUGUCGUGAGAUGUUAGGUUAAGUCCUAAAACGAGCGAAACCCUUAUCGUUAGUUGCCAGCACGUUAUGGUGGGGACUUUAACGAGACUGCCAAUGAUAAAUUGGAGGAAGGUGAGGAUCACGUCAAAUCAGCAUGCCCCUUAUGACCUGGGCUACAAACGUGAUACAAUGGCUGUUACAAAGGGUAGCUGAAACGCAAGUUCUUGGCCAAUCCCCAAAAACAGUCCCAGUCCGGAUUGAAGUCUGCAACUCGACUUCAUGAAGUUGGAAUCGCUAGUAAUCGCGAAUCAGCAUGUCGCGGUGAAUACGUUCUCGGGGUUUGUACACACCGCCCGUCAAACCACGAAAGUUGGCAAUACCCCAAACGGUAGCCUAACUCGUUUAUUCGAGAGGGCGCCGUCUAAGGUAGGGUCG